Molecule: ribosomal RNA, 497 nt
Filed under: uncultured bacterium
Lineage: Bacteria
Description: partial 16S ribosomal RNA
Rfam family: Bacterial small subunit ribosomal RNA
Source: RNAcentral
GAUGAACGCUGGCGGCGUGCCUAAUACAUGCAAGUCGAGCGAACGGACGAGAAGCUUGCUUCUCUGAUGUUAGCGGCGGACGGGUGAGUAACACGUGGAUAACCUACCUAUAAGACUGGGAUAACUUCGGGAAACCGGAGCUAAUACCGGAUGAUAUUUUGAACCGCAUGGUUCAAAAGUGAAAGACGGUCUUGCUGUCACUUAUAGAUGGAUCCGCGCUGCAUUAGCUAGUUGGUAAGGUAACGGCUUACCAAGGCAACGAUGCAUAGCCGACCUGAGAGGGUGAUCCGCCACACUGGAACUGAGACACGGUCCAGACUCCUACGGGAGGCCGCAGUAGGGAAUCUUCCGCAAUGGGCGAAAGCCUGACGGAGCCACGCCGCGUGAGUGAUGAAGGUCUUCGGAUCGUAAAACUCUGUUAUUAGGGAAGAACAUAUGUGUAAGUAACUGUGCACAUCUUGACGGUACCUAAUCAGAAAGCCACGGCUAACUACGUG